GUGCUUGCUUUGGCAGAACAUAUACUAAAAUUGGAACGAAACAGAGAAGAUUAGCAUGGCCCCUGCACAAGGAUGACACACAAAUUUGUGAAGCAUUCCAUAUUUUU
Molecule: small nuclear RNA, 107 nt
Organism: Aethalodelphis obliquidens (Pacific white-sided dolphin)
Lineage: Eukaryota; Metazoa; Chordata; Mammalia; Artiodactyla; Delphinidae
Source: RefSeq, a predicted model, not a curated record